UAGGCAGAAGCCUGUUGGUUUGGGCAUCUAGCUGUUAAUUAGAGUAUUACGGGAUCGAAGCCCGUCUGCCUAG
RNAcentral lists this transfer RNA (73 nucleotides) under Pedionomus torquatus (plains-wanderer). RNAcentral's name for it is "tRNA-Asn". Lineage: Eukaryota; Metazoa; Chordata; Aves; Charadriiformes; Pedionomidae. The record is from RNAcentral.